RNAcentral lists this ribosomal RNA (2925 nucleotides) under Klebsiella aerogenes. Its description in RNAcentral is "bacterial LSU rRNA". It matches the Rfam family "Bacterial large subunit ribosomal RNA". The record is from RNAcentral. Lineage: Bacteria; Pseudomonadati; Pseudomonadota; Gammaproteobacteria; Enterobacterales; Enterobacteriaceae.
GGGUUGUGAGGUUAAGCGACUAAGCGUACACGGUGGAUGCCCUGGCAGUCAGAGGCGAUGAAGGACGUGCUAAUCUGCGAAAAGCGUCGGUAAGGUGAUAUGAACCGUUACAGCCGGCGAUGUCCGAAUGGGGAAACCCAGUGCAAUUCGUUGCACUAUCGUUAACUGAAUACAUAGGUUAACGAGGCGAACCGGGGGAACUGAAACAUCUAAGUACCCCGAGGAAAAGAAAUCAACCGAGAUUCCCCCAGUAGCGGCGAGCGAACGGGGAGCAGCCCAGAGUCUGAAUCAGCUUGUGUGUUAGUGGAACGGUCUGGAAAGUCCGACGGUACAGGGUGAUAGUCCCGUACACCAAAAUGCACAGGCUGUGAACUCGAAGAGUAGGGCGGGACACGUGGUAUCCUGUCUGAAUAUGGGGGGACCAUCCUCCAAGGCUAAAUACUCCUGACUGACCGAUAGUGAACCAGUACCGUGAGGGAAAGGCGAAAAGAACCCCGGCGAGGGGAGUGAAAAAGAACCUGAAACCGUGUACGUACAAGCAGUGGGAGCACCUUCGGGUGUGACUGCGUACCUUUUGUAUAAUGGGUCAGCGACUUAUAUUCUGUAGCAAGGUUAACCGUAUAGGGGAGCCGCAGGGAAACCGAGUCUUAACUGGGCGUUAAGUUGCAGGGUAUAGACCCGAAACCCGGUGAUCUAGCCAUGGGCAGGUUGAAGGUUGGGUAACACUAACUGGAGGACCGAACCGACUAAUGUUGAAAAAUUAGCGGAUGACUUGUGGCUGGGGGUGAAAGGCCAAUCAAACCGGGAGAUAGCUGGUUCUCCCCGAAAGCUAUUUAGGUAGCGCCUCGUGAACUCAUCUUCGGGGGUAGAGCACUGUUUCGGCUAGGGGGUCAUCCCGACUUACCAACCCGAUGCAAACUACGAAUACCGAAGAAUGUUAUCACGGGAGACACACGGCGGGUGCUAACGUCCGUCGUGAAGAGGGAAACAACCCAGACCGCCAGCUAAGGUCCCAAAGUCACAGUUAAGUGGGAAACGAUGUGGGAAGGCACAGACAGCCAGGAUGUUGGCUUAGAAGCAGCCAUCAUUUAAAGAAAGCGUAAUAGCUCACUGGUCGAGUCGGCCUGCGCGGAAGAUGUAACGGGGCUAAACUGUGCACCGAAGCUGCGGCAGCGACACUAUGUGUUGUUGGGUAGGGGAGCGUUCUGUAAGCCUGCGAAGGUGGCCUGUGAGGGUUGCUGGAGGUAUCAGAAGUGCGAAUGCUGACAUAAGUAACGAUAAUGCGGGUGAAAAGCCCGCACGCCGGAAGACCAAGGGUUCCUGUCCAACGUUAAUCGGGGCAGGGUGAGUCGACCCCUAAGGCGAGGCCGAAAGGCGUAGUCGAUGGGAAACAGGUUAAUAUUCCUGUACUUGGUGUUACUGCGAAGGGGGGACGGAGAAGGCUAUGUUAGCCGGGCGACGGUUGUCCCGGUUUAAGCAUGUAGGCGGAGGUUCCAGGUAAAUCCGGUACCUUUUAACGCUGAGGUGUGAUGACGAGGCACUACGGUGCUGAAGUAACAAAUGCCCUGCUUCCAGGAAAAGCCUCUAAGCAUCAGGUAACAUUGAAUCGUACCCCAAACCGACACAGGUGGUCAGGUAGAGAAUACCAAGGCGCUUGAGAGAACUCGGGUGAAGGAACUAGGCAAAAUGGUGCCGUAACUUCGGGAGAAGGCACGCUGAUAUGUAGGUGAAGCCCCUGCGGGUGGAGCUGAAAUCAGUCGAAGAUACCAGCUGGCUGCAACUGUUUAUUAAAAACACAGCACUGUGCAAACACGAAAGUGGACGUAUACGGUGUGACGCCUGCCCGGUGCCGGAAGGUUAAUUGAUGGGGUUAUCCGUAAGGAGAAGCUCUUGAUCGAAGCCCCGGUAAACGGCGGCCGUAACUAUAACGGUCCUAAGGUAGCGAAAUUCCUUGUCGGGUAAGUUCCGACCUGCACGAAUGGCGUAAUGAUGGCCAGGCUGUCUCCACCCGAGACUCAGUGAAAUUGAACUCGCUGUGAAGAUGCAGUGUACCCGCGGCAAGACGGAAAGACCCCGUGAACCUUUACUAUAGCUUGACACUGAACAUUGAGCCUUGAUGUGUAGGAUAGGUGGGAGGCUUUGAAGCGUGGACGCCAGUCUGCGUGGAGCCAACCUUGAAAUACCACCCUUUAAUGUUUGAUGUUCUAACGUUGGCCCCUAAUCGGGGUUGCGGACAGUGUCUGGUGGGUAGUUUGACUGGGGCGGUCUCCUCCCAAAGAGUAACGGAGGAGCACGAAGGUUAGCUAAUCCUGGUCGGACAUCAGGAGGUUAGUGCAAUGGCAUAAGCUAGCUUGACUGCGAGCGUGACGGCGCGAGCAGGUGCGAAAGCAGGUCAUAGUGAUCCGGUGGUUCUGAAUGGAAGGGCCAUCGCUCAACGGAUAAAAGGUACUCCGGGGAUAACAGGCUGAUACCGCCCAAGAGUUCAUAUCGACGGCGGUGUUUGGCACCUCGAUGUCGGCUCAUCACAUCCUGGGGCUGAAGUAGGUCCCAAGGGUAUGGCUGUUCGCCAUUUAAAGUGGUACGCGAGCUGGGUUUAGAACGUCGUGAGACAGUUCGGUCCCUAUCUGCCGUGGGCGCUGGAGAAUUGAGGGGGGCUGCUCCUAGUACGAGAGGACCGGAGUGGACGCAUCACUGGUGUUCGGGUUGUCAUGCCAAUGGCAUUGCCCGGUAGCUAAAUGCGGAAGAGAUAAGUGCUGAAAGCAUCUAAGCACGAAACUUGCCCCGAGAUGAGUUCUCCCUGAGACUUUAAGUCUCCUGAAGGAACGUUAAAGACGAUGACGUUGAUAGGUCGGGUGUGUAAGCGUAGCGAUACGUUGAGCUAACCGAUACUAAUGAACCGUGAGGCUUAACCUUACAACGCCGAAG